GCCUCUGCUGCCUCUCCUCCCAGUUGGAUCCACAUCCACACAGGGUGAAGCAUAGCUUGCAUCCAUGGUGGACCGGAGCAACGUAGGCGGCGGCCUUGGGCUGGUAGCGGCGGUCGCCGUGGUGUCCACCGGCAUCAUCGUCCUGGCCUCGUACCACCUCCACCGCCGCCUCCGCGCCGACCUCAAGGUCGGCAUCACCGGUGAGAUAUAUAUACUUGUUCUUUGUCCAUCGCUAGCUAGCAGCAUCGUCAUCGACACGAAGAAAGAGAUCAACUUAUUAAUUUUAUUACAAGCUGUAUAAGAUUGCUGACCCUGCCCUCCUCCAUGACCGGUGCAACACAAUUGAUGCGAGCAGAGCAACGGCGGCAGAGGUGGACGUGGAAGAAGAAGAAGAAGAAGAAGGUGCGGUUCGCGGACGAGCUGGUGACGGAUCCCUCGUCGGCCCCCCGCGAGGAGUACCGCCGGCGAGCCGCCGAUGACCCGAUCCGGCCGGCGCUGCGUAAGGCCUAGCUACUCGGUCUUUCUGCAGUCCUGCUUAUAAUGAAUUACUAGUUUCAGUAAAUAAAAAACCAGCAGCACUAAGAAAAGGGAGUAAAUAAAGCUGCAUUUUGCCAUCUCAGAUACAACAAUUGUGUUGUUUAAU
This 643-nucleotide long non-coding RNA is filed under the name Hordeum vulgare. Its description in RNAcentral is "long non-coding RNA (HVUL_LNC021496)". Lineage: Eukaryota; Viridiplantae; Streptophyta; Magnoliopsida; Poales; Poaceae. The record is from RNAcentral.